Non-coding RNA from Rattus norvegicus (Norway rat), 2679 nucleotides. The record is from RefSeq and is a predicted model, not a curated record. Lineage: Eukaryota; Metazoa; Chordata; Mammalia; Rodentia; Muridae.
UGCCAAGCCACCAGUAUAUUCUGAUCCAACACCACCAAGAAAGAAAUGCUUAUUUGGCAAAAAUCUUACAAGCAUUUAUGUCGACAGAAAGCUGCCUGCUCCAAUACGUGACAUGCUAUCCAUAAUUGCAGGGAAAGGACAAGAAUCAGAUCACAUAUUCGAAAGUCUACCUGAAAAUUCACACUGGUGCCUCAGAGAGAGGAAUGACAGUGAACAACUCAUUGAAUGGAUUAAAGAAUGUGGGCUUGUAAUAGCAUCUGUCUGGAAGAAAAGGACUUCAUUGCAAACAUUGAAGGAAGUUUACUUACUUCUGACUUAUAAGAGAAUUGGCUUAGCGUCCCAGAUGAAGGAACUCUGGUUGGAAAAAUUAAUGCCAUCCAAAGACCUCUACUGAAGAUUCCUCAAGCAAACUUUAUCUUUCUAAAGAAUCUCAUUUGGUAAUAGCAAUAAUAAGAGACUCAUCCAUGAAUAAUUUAGACACUAACAGGUUAUCUAUCCAGAUAGCUCCUUAUGUUUUGUGGGAUUAGACUACAAAGGACGCAUGGUUUGGGAGUGAUGUAUCAAGAAAGGUAAGGGGAUCUGACUUUUGCCUUUGGGAACAAAAUUCUCAUUGUAAUGCAGGAAGUAGGAAAACUUUGGAAAGAUAAUUUCUGUAAAAGGAAACCCUAGGAUUCCAUUCUUCUGGAGUGGAGUGGAAUAUAUAUCGAUCUGUUUCAGGAAGAUUUGGGAAGAAAGAUGGUUAAUGUAGUUUAAAAUAAGUGAAUCAUUUCAGUCUUUCUUUUGUUCUUUCUUCAUAGAUAUUGAUUUUGGCCAACAGUAUGCUUCACAUAUAAUGGUAGUCAAAGAAGACUAGAGUGAAGUUUAAAAAAAAUCCUGAUUAUCCAGGUGUUGCUUGUUUUUUUUUUUAUUCCGGCCCUAUUUUUGGAGUAUAUAAUACUUGUGUUUUACAGUAAUUAGAAUACUAUAUUAUUAAAUAUUCAUAUCAAGUGAAUUAAUGGUCAUACAAAAGUACAUUUCAUAUAUAUAUUUCAUAUGUGUGUGUGCCUAUUUGUGUGUGUGUGUAUGUAUAUGACAAAAUGGUGUAUAUUAUUUUGUAUACUUUCAAUUGCUUUACCACUAAUGUAUUCAGGUGCAGUUUUAGGUUCCUCAGGUCUCAAGGACCUCCACAUCAAGCCAGAUACACUCAAACUGAUAGAAGGAAAAGUGAGGAAGCAUCUCUAACACAUGGGCACUGGAGAAAAUUUCCUGAACAAAACACCAAUGGCUUAUGAUCUAAGACCCAGAAUCGACAAAUGAAUCUCAUAAAACUGCAAAGUGUCUGUAAGGCAAAGGACACUGUGGCUAGGACAAAACGGCAACCAACAGAUUGGGAAAAGAUCUUUACCAAUCCUACAACAGAUAGAGGCCUUAUAUCUAAAAUAUACAAAGAACUCAAGAAGUUACACCACAGGGAGACAAAUAACCCUAUUAAAAAAUGGGGUUGAGAGCUAAACAAAGAAUUCACAGAUGAGGAAUGCAGAAUGGCUGAGAAACACCUAAAGAAAUGUUCAACAUCUUUAGUCAUAAGGGAAAUGCAAAUCAAAACAACCUUGAGAUUUCACCUCACACCAGUGAGAAUGACUAAGAUCAAAAACUCAGGUGACAGCAAAUGGUGGGUGAGGAUGUGAAGAAAGAGGAACACUCCUCCAUUGUUGGUGGGAUUGCAGACUGGUACAACUAUUCUGGAAAUCAGUCUGGAGGUUCCUCAGAAUAUUGGACAUUGAACUACCUAAAGACCCAGCUAUACCCCUCUUGAUCAUAUACCCAAAAGAUGCCCCAACAUAUAAAAAAGACACAUGCUCCACUAUGCUCAUAGCAGCCUUAUUUAUAAUAGCCAGAAACUGGAAAGAACCCAUAUGCCCUUCAACAGAGGAAUGGAUACAGAAAUUGUGGUACAUCUACACAAUGGAAUAUUACUCAGCUGUCAAAAGCAAUGACUUUAUGAAAUUCAUAGGCAAAUGGAGGGAACUGGAAAAUAUCAUCCUGUGUGAGGUAAUCAAAUCACACAAAAACACACAUGGUAUGCACUGACUGAUAAGUGGCUAUUAGCCCAAAAGCUUGAAUUACCCUAGAUGCACAGAACACAUGAAACUCAAGACGGAUGAUCAAAAUGUGAAAUCUUCACUCCUUUAAAAGGGGAAAAAGAAUACCCUUGGGAGGGAAUAGGGAGACAAAGUUUAGAACAGAGGCAGAAAGAACAUCCAUUCAGAGCCUGCCCCACAUGUGGCCCAUACAUAUACAGCCACUCAAUUAGAUAAGAUGGAUGGAGCAAAGAAGUGCAGGCUUACAGAAAGUGGAUGUAGAUCUCUCCUGAGACACACAGCCAGAAUGCAGCAAAUACAUAGGCGAAUUCCAGCAGCAAACCACUGAACUGAGAAGGGGACUCCCAAUGAAGGAAUCAGAGAAAGGACUGGAAGAGCUUGAAGGGGCUCGAGACCCCAUAUGAACAACAAUGCCAACCAACCAGAGCUUCCAGGGAUUAAGCCAGUACCCAAAGACUAUACAUGGACUGACCCUGGGCUCCAACCUCAUAGCUAGCAAUGAAUAGCCUAGUAAGAGCACCAGUGGAAGGGGAAGCCGUUGGUCCUGCUAAGACUGAACCCCCAGUGAACGUGACUGUUGGGGGGAGAACCAUAAUGG